ACGUCCUGCCAAACCCGUUCCGCC
RNAcentral lists this non-coding RNA (24 nucleotides) under Arabidopsis thaliana (thale cress). Lineage: Eukaryota; Viridiplantae; Streptophyta; Magnoliopsida; Brassicales; Brassicaceae. The record is from RNAcentral.